CCUGGGUGGUGGACCAGAGGGGUGAAGUCCGGAUGAGCAGGGAUAUUUUGUGAACCAGACAGUGGGAGGGGUAAUGCGGGCUGCGUAUUGCGGGUGGAAGGCAAGAGGUCGGCAGGCAGCCAGGCUGGCUGACAUGUGAGGUGGCACGUUUGUCUCCCGCCUGAUUCUCUGCAGAUGCUGCUGGGGACGGGCUCUGUCUCAAGGUCUUAGAAGGAAGCUGGUGGAGCUGGUGGACCGGAGGGAAGUACAGAAGCACGUGAAAGCCAGCAGGUCCUGGAAAUGGAACUCAAGUUGGCAGGCUUGAUGGCAAGUGCUGAGCCAUCUUUCCAUCCAAGAUUGAGGAUUCUAGAACGUGCUAAAUAUUCUUGAUUGAUUCAUUGCCUUCCGGUGACCUCGGAAGAAAACAUGAAGUAGAGGCCAUCUUGAUGGGAGUGGAGGCAAGUCUCACCUCUCCUCAUCACCCCAGUAUAAAGCACAAAGCAGACACUGUUUCCUAGCUGGAUCCCAGGGACUGUCUGGCUCUGUUACAGCCACACUCGAUGAAAAUAUCUCUGCUCAGUGCUGAAGCCUUGGUCUCGGUAAUUGACUUGUAUAAUGUCCAAAGAUUCUGUGCCUGUAACCAGCCCCAAGUGAUGCAUCAUCUUUAGCAGAAAGAUUUAUCAUGGAAUCCGUGGCAACCACCCAUUUGUCUGUAGCAGAAAUAGGAAUGACUGCCUUUGCCAGGAGUCAUCCUUUGUCUUCAAAGCAAAUUCCUCCAUGGUUGGAGGCUUUCUGGCCGAGCUCCCACAGUCCUAGCAUCUCCAUCCCAAGGAUCUCAGUCACAGGCAAGGGAGAAACUGAAUCUCUGGAUUCAGGAGCCCUGAGCUGUAGGACUGAUGGCUACCAGCUGGCCUUGGAGUAGAGAUGCCAACAGUAUGGAUGGACUUCAUGAUGGUUGUAAGAGACAAAAGGGCAGGAUACAUGGGAGCCUUUAGGAUGUUGCUGGAGAGCGCCCCCUAUGACCUACAGUUCUCAUUACACACAACUGCAGGGGAACAAAAAGCAGAGAAGACAGAUCUAUUUGAGGCUAUACUACCCCGCCAAGGUCCUGCUCAUGAUGUGCUCCUGUGGCUUAAGUUUUCACAUUCAUCAAUAUUGAUCCAUCAAUAAUUUAUGUUGAUAUAAGGAGCAAGGUAAGGAUUCAGAUUUAUUUUUGCAUCCGAUGGUCAAGCUAAUAUGAUUGAUUAAAAUCUGUUUCUACCCAUUUUAAAUACAGCACAAUCUUUACUAUAAACCUAAAACGUUUUUACCUGAGAUUUUCUGAGCUUUUCCACUGCCUCGUGUAUUUCUCUUGAUUAGGAUGCAUUCAUUUCAGUAGUUUUAGAAUAUGCUCUUGCUUGUGGGCUAGUUCUUUACAAAUCUUCAUUUUCAUAAUUUACCUGGCUAAUUUUGUUUUUUUCUAUUUCUCUCUGAACCUUAGAAUCAGCUUGUCAAGAAAAAAAAACUUGUAGCUGUUUUA
Mesocricetus auratus (golden hamster) is the source of this 1498-nucleotide long non-coding RNA. RefSeq lists it as uncharacterized. The transcript is spliced from 4 exons. Lineage: Eukaryota; Metazoa; Chordata; Mammalia; Rodentia; Cricetidae. The record is from RefSeq and is a predicted model, not a curated record.